This 287-nucleotide long non-coding RNA is filed under the name Elaeis guineensis (African oil palm). Its description in RNAcentral is "long non-coding RNA (EGUI_LNC057071)". Lineage: Eukaryota; Viridiplantae; Streptophyta; Magnoliopsida; Arecales; Arecaceae. The record is from RNAcentral.
GCUUUUUCGCUGCCUCCUCAUCCUCGUCGAGUGUUGGAAUUUCAUAUGGUGCUCAUGUUAGAAAGUCAGGUAGGCAACAUGCAUAAAUUUCAAAAAUCUUUUUGAUUGUAGCAAAAAAAUAAUCAGAUUAAACCCUUUAACCCCCACAUGUAAUAGAUCUCAUCUAAUCCUAUCCAAGCCCAGGAGAAAAGAUAUAUAUAUAUAUAAUCUGAAAAUAAAAAUAAGUAUGAGAUCAAAUCUCAAUAACGUAGCGCAAGUAGAAAUUCACUACAAUCGAUGAUCUCGGG